This 377-nucleotide ribosomal RNA is filed under the name uncultured bacterium. RNAcentral describes it as "bacterial SSU rRNA". It matches the Rfam family "Bacterial small subunit ribosomal RNA", at positions 381 to 775 of the family's 1533-position model. The record is from RNAcentral.
GCCUGACCCAGCAACGCCGCGUGAAGGAAGAAGGUUUUCGGAUCGUAAACUUCUAUCCUUGGUGAAGAUAAUGACGUGGGUCAAGAAGGAAGCCCCGGCUAACUACGUGCCAGCAGCCGCGGUAAUACGUAGGGGGCAAGCGUUGUCCGGAAUGAUUGGGCGUAAAGGGCGCGUAGGCGGCCUGGUAAGUCUGGAGUGAAAGUCCUGCUUUUAAGGUGGGAAUUGCUUUGGAUACUGUCGGGCUUGAGUGCAGGAGAGGUAACAGGAAUUCCCGGUGUAGCGGUGAAAUGCGUAGAGAUCGGGAGGAACACCAGCCGCGAAGGCGACUUACUGGACUGUAACUGACGCUGAGGCGCGAAGGUGUGGGGAGCAAACAG